GAGACAGCAGUCGCCGCGGUAAUACAGAGGGUGCAAGCGUUAAUCGGAUUUACUGGGCGUAAAGGGCGCGUAGGUGGUUAUGUAAGUGAGAUGUGAAAUCCCCGGGCUCAACCUGGGAACUGCAUCUUAUACUGCGUAGCUGGAGUGCAGUAGAGGGUAGUGGAAUUUCCGGUGUAGCGGUGAAAUGCGUAGAUAUCGGAAGGAACACCAGUGGCGAAGGCGGCUACCUGGACUGACACUGACACUGAGGCGCGAAAGCGUGGGGAGCAAACAGGAUUAGAUACCCGAGUAGUCCCUGUCUCUUAUAC
This 308-nucleotide ribosomal RNA is filed under the name uncultured bacterium. Its description in RNAcentral is "partial 16S ribosomal RNA". It matches the Rfam family "Bacterial small subunit ribosomal RNA", at positions 505 to 807 of the family's 1533-position model. The record is from RNAcentral.